GGGGCUGACUGGCUUUGACAGCGUGUAGAAGCGGUAGGUAAGCAUGCAGAGCUUUGGCGUUUAAGCUCUAUAAUCGCAAAAGCGUCGACCUAUAAUUGGCGAAAAUAACAAUUACGCUCUCGCUGCGUGAUCCGAAGUAUAGUAAGAUCCCUUAAUUCCCUGCACAGUGUAGGGAACGAGACAUCUCCCCAUUGCCCCGUUCCGAGACGUUUGGACAAGGAGGUGCAGAGAAAUUCGGAAAUAGGAGAGACGGAGUUCUGACGUCGCUCCGAGAUUUAAGGACUAAGGGCAAAGUUGGCUGUCGUGGGCCUGCCUUACCUCGAAAACCAAUCCACAGACUAAGCAUGUAGAAAGCCCAUUGGUUCCACGUUUGGACGAGGGUUCAAUCCCCUCCAGCUCCACUA
This 404-nucleotide transfer-messenger RNA is filed under the name Muribaculaceae. RNAcentral describes it as "CAG-485 sp014802175 Standard tmRNA". It matches the Rfam family "transfer-messenger RNA". Rfam says of the family: Bacterial tmRNA, also known as 10Sa RNA or SsrA, is named for its dual tRNA and mRNA-like properties. The record is from RNAcentral. RNAcentral also lists the same sequence under 1 other name. Lineage: Bacteria; Pseudomonadati; Bacteroidota; Bacteroidia; Bacteroidales.